RNAcentral lists this ribosomal RNA (416 nucleotides) under uncultured prokaryote. RNAcentral describes it as "partial 16S ribosomal RNA". It matches the Rfam family "Bacterial small subunit ribosomal RNA", at positions 505 to 918 of the family's 1533-position model. The record is from RNAcentral.
GUGUCAGCAGCCGCGGUAAGACGGAGGGGGCUAGCGUUGUUCGGAAUUACUGGGCGUAAAGCGCGCGUAGGCGGAUGUGCAAGUUGGAGGUGAAAGCCCGGGGCUCAACCUCGGAAUUGCCUUCAAAACUGCACAUCUAGAGGCCGGGAGAGGGUAGCGGAAUUCCCAGUGUAGAGGUGAAAUUCGUAGAUAUUGGGAAGAACACCGGUGGCGAAGGCGGCUACCUGGACCGGUCCUGACGCUGAGGUGCGAAUGCGUGGGGAGCAAACAGGAUUAGAUACCCUGGUAGUCCACGCUGUAAAUGAUGCCCACUAGGUGUGGUGGAGGUUAUAACUCUGCCGUGCCGUAGCUAACGCGUUAAGUGGGCCGCCUGGGGAGUACGGCCGCAAGGUUAAAACUUAAAGGAAUUGACGGGG